UAUAGGUGAAAGAAAUUUUACCCUGGCACAGUGGACAUAGUACUGCAAGGUAAAGAUGAAAAAGUUAACCAAGAAUAAAAUAGCAAGGAUAGACCCUUAUACCUUCUGCAUAAUGAAUUAACUAGAAAUAACUUUACAUAGAGAACCAAAGCCAAGGCCCCCGAAACCAGACGAGCUACCCAAGAACAGCUAAAAGAACACACCCAUCUAUGUAGUAAAAUAGUGGGGAGAUUCAUGAGUAGUGGUGAUAAGCCUACUGAGCCUAGUGAUGGCUGGUUGUCCAAGAUAGAAUCUUAGUUCAACUUUAAAUUUACCUACAGAGCCACUUAAUCCCCCUGUAAAUUUAACUGUUAGUCUAAAGAGGGACAGCUCUUUAGACAUUAGGAAACAACCUUCAUGUAGAGAGUAAAAAACAUUAUCCCCACAGUUGGCCUGAAAGUGGCCGUCAAUGAAGAAAGCGUUCAAGCUCAACAUCCGACCACUCUAAAUUCUAAUCACACCACUGAACUCCUAACACCACAUUGGACUAAUCUAUUACUUUAUAGAUGCAAUAAUAUUAAUAUAAGUAACAUGAAAUAUUCUCCACUGCUUAAGCCUACAUCAGACCAGAAUAACCCACUGACAAAUUAACAGCCUAAUAUUAAUAAACAACUCAACAAAUUUAUUAUUACCUAUACUGUUAAUCCAACACAGGCAUGCUCUAAGGAAAGGUUAAAAAAAAUUAAAAGGAACUCGGCAAAUUUUACCCUGCCUGUUUACCAAAAACAUCACCUCUAGCAUUAUUAGUAUUAGAGGCACCACCUGCCAGUGACAUAUGUUCAAUGGCCACAGUACCCUGACUAUGCAAAGGUAGCAUAAUCACUUGUUCCUUAAAUAGGGACUUGUAUGAAUGACCCCAUGAGGGUUCAGCUGUCUCUUACUUCCCACCAGUGAAACUGACCUGCCUGUGAAGAGGCGAACAUGAAUAAAUAAGACAAGAAGAUCCUAUGGAGCUUUAAUUUAUUAAUGCAAACAAAGCUCAGAUAAGCCCACAGGCCUUAAACUACUGUCCCUGCAUUAAAUAUUUUGGUUGGGGUGACCUCGGAGCAUAAUUCAACCUCUGAGCAACCUAUGCUAAGACUAAACCAGUUUAAGCGAAUUACUAUACAUAUAUUGACCCAAUAAUUUGAUCAACGGAACAAGUUACCCUAGGGAUAACAGCGCAAUCCUAUUCUAGAGUCCAUAUUGACAAUAGGGUUUACGACCUCGAUGUUGGAUCAGGACAUCCUAAUGGUGUAGCUGCUAUCAAGGGUUCGUUUAUUCAAUGAUUAAAGUCCUACGUGAUCUGAGUUCAGACCGGAACAAGCCAGGUCUGGUACAUGUGUAUUUAAGUCCUCCACACCUCCCAUCUAUAAG
Molecule: ribosomal RNA, 1395 nt
Organism: Pan troglodytes (chimpanzee)
Lineage: Eukaryota; Metazoa; Chordata; Mammalia; Primates; Hominidae
Rfam family: Bacterial large subunit ribosomal RNA
Source: Rfam